RNAcentral lists this ribosomal RNA (255 nucleotides) under uncultured bacterium. Its description in RNAcentral is "partial 16S ribosomal RNA". It matches the Rfam family "Bacterial small subunit ribosomal RNA", at positions 526 to 779 of the family's 1533-position model. The record is from RNAcentral.
CGGAGGGGCGUAGCGUUAUUCGGAAUUACUGGGCGUAAAGCGCGCGUAGGCGGUUUUUCUAAGUCAGAGGUGAAAGCCCGGAGCUCAACUCCGGAAUUGCCUUUGAAACUGGAUCACUAGAAUCAUGGAGAGGUCAGUGGAAUUCCGAGUGUAGAGGUGAAAUUCGUAGAUAUUCGGAAGAACACCAGUGGCGAAGGCGACUGACUGGACAUGUAUUGACGCUGAGGUGCGAAAGCGUGGGGAGCAAACAGGAUU